CCUACGGGUGGCAGCAGUGAGGAAUAUUGGUCAAUGGACGAGAGUCUGAACCAGCCAAGUAGCGUGAAGGAUGACUGCCCUAUGGGUUGUAAACUUCUUUUAUAAAGGAAUAAAACGAGGCACGUGUGCCUUUUUGCAUGUACUUUAUGAAUAAGGAUCGGCUAACUCCGUGCCAGCAGCCGCGGUAAUACGGAGGAUCCGAGCGUUAUCCGGAUUUAUUGGGUUUAAAGGGAGCGUAGAUGGGUUGUUAAGUCAGUUGCGAAAGUUUGCGGCUCAACCGGAAAAUUGCAAUUGAUACUGGCAGUCUUGAGUACAGUUGAGGUAGGCGGAAUUCGUGGUGUAGCGGUGAAAUGCUUAGAUAUCACGAAGAACCCCGAUUGCGAAGGCAGCUUACUAAACUGUGACUGACAUUGAUGCUCGAAAGUGUGGGUAUCAAACAGGAUUAGAUACCCUGGUAGUC
This 460-nucleotide ribosomal RNA is filed under the name uncultured bacterium. Its description in RNAcentral is "partial 16S ribosomal RNA". It matches the Rfam family "Bacterial small subunit ribosomal RNA", at positions 338 to 795 of the family's 1533-position model. The record is from RNAcentral.